AAUCACUGAGAGCUGCUACCGCC
RNAcentral lists this non-coding RNA (23 nucleotides) under Cricetulus griseus (Chinese hamster). Lineage: Eukaryota; Metazoa; Chordata; Mammalia; Rodentia; Cricetidae. The record is from RNAcentral.